CGCUGGCGGCAUGCCUAACACAUGCAAGUCGAACGAGACCUUCGGGUCUAGGUGGCGCACGGGUGCGUAACGCGUGGGAACCUGCCUUUAGGUUCGGAAUAACUCAGAGAAAUUUGAGCUAAUACCGGAUAAUGUCUUCGGACCAAAGAUUUAUCGCCUUUAGAUGGGCCCGCGUUGGAUUAGCUAGUUGGUGGGGUAAAGGCCUACCAAGGCGACGAUCCAUAGCUGGUCUGAGAGGAUGAUCAGCCACACUGGGACUGAGACACGGCCCAGACUCCUACGGGAGGCAGCAGUGGGGAAUAUUGGACAAUGGGCGAAAGCCUGAUCCAGCAAUGCCGCGUGAGUGAUGAAGGCCUUAGGGUUGUAAAGCUCUUUUACCCGAGAUGAUAAUGACAGUAUCGGGAGAAUAAGCUCCGGCUAACUCCGUG
Molecule: ribosomal RNA, 428 nt
Filed under: uncultured bacterium
Lineage: Bacteria
Description: bacterial SSU rRNA
Rfam family: Bacterial small subunit ribosomal RNA
Source: RNAcentral